This 256-nucleotide ribosomal RNA is filed under the name uncultured prokaryote. Its description in RNAcentral is "partial 16S ribosomal RNA". It matches the Rfam family "Bacterial small subunit ribosomal RNA", at positions 522 to 777 of the family's 1533-position model. The record is from RNAcentral.
AAGACGAACCGUCCUAACGUUGUUCGGAUUCACUGGGCUUAAAGGGCGCGUAGGCGGGUGAGCAAGUCCGGGGUGAAAUCUUUCGGCUUAACCGGAAAAUGGCCUUGGAUACUGCUUGUCUAGAGGGAGGUAGGGGUGUGUGGAACUUCCGGUGGAGCGGUGAAAUGCGUUGAUAUCGGAAGGAACGCCGGUGGCGAAAGCGACGCACUGGACCUCUUCUGACGCUGAGGCGCGAAAGCUAGGGUAGCGAACGGGA